This 37-nucleotide ribosomal RNA is filed under the name Cyperus pulchellus. RNAcentral describes it as "partial 18S ribosomal RNA". The record is from RNAcentral. Lineage: Eukaryota; Viridiplantae; Streptophyta; Magnoliopsida; Poales; Cyperaceae.
ACAAAGUUUCCGUAGGUGAACCUGCGGAAGGAUCAUU